UUCGCUGAGCGUAUCGGCGGGAAGCGUUGAAACGGUGAACCCCUGCGGGUGCAAGCCAGAAACGGGCGAUGGGCUGCCUGGUGCCCGCCCAGGUUUGGCGCAUAGCCGAAUGCCGCCAUGAACAGAAGGGGGCUUACUCCUCCCACUC
This 148-nucleotide RNase P RNA is filed under the name Methanomicrobiales archaeon. RNAcentral's name for it is "partial RNase P RNA component". It matches the Rfam family "Archaeal RNase P", at positions 143 to 288 of the family's 288-position model. From Rfam's summary of the family: Ribonuclease P (RNase P) is a ubiquitous endoribonuclease, found in archaea, bacteria and eukarya as well as chloroplasts and mitochondria. Its best characterised activity is the generation of mature 5'-ends of tRNAs by cleaving the 5'-leader elements of precursor-tRNAs. Cellular RNase Ps are ribonucleoproteins. The record is from RNAcentral. Lineage: Archaea; Methanobacteriati; Methanobacteriota; Methanomicrobia; Methanomicrobiales.